GACGAACGCUGGCGGCGUGCUUAACACAUGCAAGUCGAACGGAAAGGCCCUGCUUUUGUGGGGUGCUCGAGUGGCGAACGGGUGAGUAACACGUGAGUAACCUGCCCUUGACUUUGGGAUAACUUCAGGAAACUGGGGCUAAUACCGGAUAGGAGCUCCUGCUGCAUGGGGGGGGUUGGAAAGUUUCGGCGGUUGGGGAUGGACUCGCGGCUUAUCAGCUUGUUGGUGGGGUAGUGGCUUACCAAGGCUUUGACGGGUAGCCGGCCUGAGAGGGUGACCGGCCACAUUGGGACUGAGAUACGGCCCAGACUCCUACGGGAGGCUGCAGUGGGGAAUAUUGCACAAUGGGCGGAAGCCUGAUGCAGCAACGCCGCGUGCGGGAUGACGGCCUUCGGGUUGUAAACCGCUUUCGCCUGUGACGAAGCGUGAGUGACGGUAAUGGGUAAAGAAGCACCGGCUAACUACGUG
Molecule: ribosomal RNA, 468 nt
Filed under: uncultured bacterium
Lineage: Bacteria
Description: partial 16S ribosomal RNA
Rfam family: Bacterial small subunit ribosomal RNA
Source: RNAcentral